AGGCCCAUUAAUGUGACAUUAUCACUUUCUUUAAUUUCAUAAGAAACAGCUAGGGAAUGCCAACUUGGGGGGGUUAGUGCUUUUAGAAGAGCAGCUGCUGAAUCACAAAUCUGGGUUUUACACACAAAAUUCAAUGCUUCCCUUACCCACCCACCCACCGACUCUGCCCAUUUCAAAAGCUGCCGCUGUACUCUGCACAAAUUGGGGCAAGAUUGUCUCCAACACAAUGCGUGCCCCUUUUGGGCCCUCUGAUUGAUGAAGAAACAUGCAUUGAUUAAUCAAAAAGACUACUCAGUUGGAACUUGCUUUAACAAGGGCUCAAUCAGAUGGGGACAUGAAGUCAAGGGUGGGCGUUGGCGUUGGCGUUGGCGUUGGCACAAAUCUAAGGCUUUAGUGGGUUGCUGGUUACCACAUGCUCCCAGGAACCUCUCUCCACAAUCCUUGCAGCUUUGCUUGCAAUCCACAAGAGAACCACAAAAUUGCAUCAUGUGGAUCCAGGAAAAGAGGCAAACUGGGGCCGAGGCGAUUUGGCUUUUUCACUUGAGGGGCCGUGUGUCCCGCAUAUUAUCCCAGGCCGGAAUACUCCUUCGGCUCUCCAUCGAACCCAAGAGGUAAAUAGAAAAAUCUAUUGUGCAGGUCACACAUUUUAUUCCCCUCUAAAUUAGUGGACUUUUAUCCUCCAAUUUGGUUUUCUCACACUACAAAAGGAAGCAGCCCCCCAUGAUAUUGAAACUCUAAUUAAUUGUUGCACAU
This is a non-coding RNA of Cucurbita pepo subsp. pepo (vegetable marrow), 753 nucleotides long. Lineage: Eukaryota; Viridiplantae; Streptophyta; Magnoliopsida; Cucurbitales; Cucurbitaceae. The record is from RefSeq and is a predicted model, not a curated record.